Molecule: ribosomal RNA, 492 nt
Filed under: uncultured bacterium
Lineage: Bacteria
Description: partial 16S ribosomal RNA
Rfam family: Bacterial small subunit ribosomal RNA
Source: RNAcentral
AGUGAACGCUGGCGGUAGGCCUAACACAUGCAAGUCGAACGGCAGCACAGUAAGAGCUUGCUCUUACAGGUGGCGAGUGGCGGACGGGUGAGGAAUACAUCGGAAUCUACUUUUUCGUGGGGGAUAACGUAGGGAAACUUACGCUAAUACCGCAUACGACCUACGGGUGAAAGCAGGGGAUCUUCGGGCCUUGCGCGAUUGAAUGAGCCGAUGUCGGAUUAGCUAGUUGGCGGGGUAAAGGCCCACCAAGGCGACGAUCCGUAGCUGGUCUGAGAGGAUGAUCAGCCACACUGGAACUGAGACACGGUCCAGACUCCUACGGGAGGCAGCAGUGGGGAAUAUUGGACAAUGGGCGCAAGCCUGAUCCAGCCAUACCGCGUGGGUGAAGAAGGCCUUCGGGUUGUAAAGCCCUUUUGUUGGGAAAGAAAAGCAGCAGGUUAAUACCCCGCUGUUCUGACGGUACCCAAAGAAUAAGCACCGGCUAACUUCGUG